Molecule: long non-coding RNA, 692 nt
Organism: Fukomys damarensis (Damara mole-rat)
Lineage: Eukaryota; Metazoa; Chordata; Mammalia; Rodentia; Bathyergidae
Exons: 5
Source: RefSeq, a predicted model, not a curated record
GUCACAGACAAGUGACCGGCUGGGCUGUCCGCCAUUUCCUUGGAGCUGCGUGAGUCGGCUCGGUUGGGGAAAGGAAACCGGAAAGCGGGCGGCGAGGUUUGGCCUGCGGUGCUGUGAGCCUGAAGGAGCUGUCAGGCGCCUCCAGCUUUUGCGCGGCCCCCAGAGCGCUUCACUAGACCUCUGUCCUUGUUGGUCCGGGCGCUUUAACCACGGUGAGCUCGCUCCUGCUGGAAACUCACGAACCCGGGUUGUCCUCAACUCCUCAGAAGAGAGGGCUGCGUAGCCAGGGGUUUAUUUUCGCUUCUCAGAAAACCAGUGGAGUGAAGUACUAAAGGAUCGGAUACUGCAAAGUUGAGCACGUGGUACAAGUAACUUUAAACGUUUGCAGCUCUCCGCCCAUCCACAUGAAGGUGCAGCCCCUGAACCAGACGGCACUGCAAGUGUCCUGGAGCCAGCCAGAGACCAUCUACCACCCCCCUAUUAUGAACUACAUGAUCUCUUACAGCUGGACGAAGAACGAGGAUGAGAAGGAGAAGACAUUCACAAAGGACAGCGACAAAGAUCUGAAUUUCUAGGGGUGGCUAUCUUCUCUGGGGACACACAAAAUUCAUUUUCUUCAUUCUUCAACACGUCAAGAGUGCUGACUUAGUGGCAGCAAAGCUGUUCUCUACCUUACGGUCACUUGGGCGCCG